Molecule: non-coding RNA, 101 nt
Organism: Coprinopsis sp. MPI-PUGE-AT-0042
Lineage: Eukaryota; Fungi; Basidiomycota; Agaricomycetes; Agaricales; Psathyrellaceae
Source: the annotation of a GenBank genome assembly
GGGCGGAUGGUGUAGUUGGUUAUCACGCUCGCUUAGCAUGUAAGAGCUUUGCUUACGUAAUCGCGUGCGAGAGGUGCUGGGUUCAAUUCCCAGUUCGUCCA